RNAcentral lists this long non-coding RNA (414 nucleotides) under Gallus gallus (chicken). Lineage: Eukaryota; Metazoa; Chordata; Aves; Galliformes; Phasianidae. The record is from RNAcentral.
CCUGAUACAAUGGGACAAAGUCCUUUUGUUCUUCUCUUUCUAUUGCAUUUUGACACUUCUCAAUCUUCCACUGCCGCAUGAAAUCUCGCAGAUACCCAAAGAGAGUGAGAACACCAUAGCCUACGUAGGUCAGCACAGCAACCAGCAUUGGUGUUUCUUCAAAAGCUUCAUUGAAAGGCCUUUUGUAUAAUCCUCCAUUGUGCACAAUGUGAUUUAUCUGUGUGUCGGGUGCGGGCAGGCCGCGCACGUAGCCGUUGCGGAGCCCUCCGUGGGCCGCGCCGCUGCAGCCGUUGGCACGGGGCUGAGCACCCAGCGCCGCCGCAGCCCGCUCGGGCCGCUCCAUCCCGCCGCUGCCGGACACGAUCCCGCCGCGCCUCACCCGCUCCGCUGGCCCCACCCGGCCGCGCCGCGCCG